UGCUGGCUUCAGCUGCACUAUUAUACUACAAUUGGAAUGAUACAGGGAAGAUUAGCAUGGCCCCUGAGCAAAGAUCACAUGCAAAUUUGUGAAGCAUUCAAUAUCUGU
This 108-nucleotide small nuclear RNA is filed under the name Carlito syrichta (Philippine tarsier). Lineage: Eukaryota; Metazoa; Chordata; Mammalia; Primates; Tarsiidae. The record is from RNAcentral.